AGCGAACGCUGGCGGCAGGCCUAACACAUGCAAGUCGAACGAACUCUUCGGAGUUAGUGGCGGACGGGGGAGUAACACGUGGGAACGUGCCUGUUGGUUCGGAAUAACUCAGGGAAACUUGUGCUAAUACCGAAUGUGCCCUUCGGGGGAAAGAUUUAUCGCCAUUAGAGCGGCCCGCGUCUGAUUAGCUAGUUGGUGAGGUAACGGCUCACCAAGGCGACGAUCAGUAGCUGGUCUGAGAGGAUGACCAGCCACGCUGGGACUAAGACCCGGCCCAGACUCCUACGGGAGGCAGCAGUGGGGAAUCUUGCGCAAUGGGCGAAAGCCUGACGCAGCCAUGCCGCGUAAAUGAUGAAGGUCUUAGGAUUGUAAAAUUCUUUCACCGGGGACGACAAUGACGGUACCCGGAGAAGAAGCCCCGGCUAACUUCGUG
Molecule: ribosomal RNA, 433 nt
Filed under: uncultured bacterium
Lineage: Bacteria
Description: partial 16S ribosomal RNA
Rfam family: Bacterial small subunit ribosomal RNA
Source: RNAcentral